CUGUUCGCCAAUUAAAGUGGUACGUGAGCUGGGUUCAGAACGUCGUGAGACAGUUUGGUCCCUAUCUGCCGUGGGUGUAGGAUGAUUGAGAGAGGCUGUUCCUAGUACGAGAGGACCGGGAUGGACAUACCUCUGGUGGACCUGUUGUCGUGCCAACGGCACAGCAGGGUAGCUACAGUAUGGAAGAGAUAAACGCUGAAAGCAUCUAAGCGUGAAACUCGUCUCGAGACUAGUCAUCCCAAUUAGAGUCGUGGAAGACUACCACGUUGAUAGGCCAGGUGUGGAAGCACAGCAAUGUGUGGAGCUUACUGGUACUAAUAACUCGAACGGCUUGUUUUU
RNAcentral lists this ribosomal RNA (339 nucleotides) under Holosporales bacterium. Its description in RNAcentral is "partial 23S ribosomal RNA". It matches the Rfam family "Bacterial large subunit ribosomal RNA", at positions 2577 to 2925 of the family's 2925-position model. The record is from RNAcentral. Lineage: Bacteria; Pseudomonadati; Pseudomonadota; Alphaproteobacteria; Holosporales.